Molecule: long non-coding RNA, 235 nt
Organism: Alnus glutinosa
Lineage: Eukaryota; Viridiplantae; Streptophyta; Magnoliopsida; Fagales; Betulaceae
Exons: 3
Source: RefSeq, a predicted model, not a curated record
GGGAAUUGGUCCGACGAGGGCAACAUAUAUUCGUGAACUCCAACAAGCAUCAACUGAGCCAUUUAAAAGUUUUGAUGAUCUUUCCAAGAUUGGGCUCUCUGAACCGGAGAUAACGCGCAUUAAGCAAAAGUUGGGGGCAAAGUACGGUGAACAAUGUUUGUGAUAUGUUACGUAACUUCGUGGAUUUUAGGCUAGAGUUCCACUGAAUCAUCUGAUCAAUCAAUUAUUAUGUGAU